This 433-nucleotide ribosomal RNA is filed under the name uncultured bacterium. Its description in RNAcentral is "partial 16S ribosomal RNA". It matches the Rfam family "Bacterial small subunit ribosomal RNA", at positions 29 to 507 of the family's 1533-position model. The record is from RNAcentral.
AACGAACGCUGGCGGCAUGCCUAACACAUGCAAGUCGAACGAGACCUUCGGGUCUAGUGGCGCACGGGUGCGUAACGCGUGGGAACCUGCCCUUAGGUUCGGAAUAACUCCCCGAAAGGGGUGCUAAUACCGGAUAAUGUCUUCGGACCAAAGAUUUAUCGCCUUUGGAUGGGCCCGCGUUGGAUUAGCUAGUUGGUAGGGUAAAAGCCUACCAAGGCGACGAUCCCUAGCUGGUCUGAGAGGAUGAUCAGCCACACUGGGACUGAGACACGGCCCAGACUCCUACGGGAGGCAGAAGUGGGGAAUAUUGGACAAUGGGCGAAAGCCUGAUCCAGCAAUGCCGCGUGAGUGAUGAAGGCCUUAGGGUUGUAAAGCUCUUUUACCCGGGAUGAUAAUGACAGUACCGGGAGAAUAAGCUCCGGCUAACUCCGUG